UUACCACAUGUUGAAGCAGGACUUUCGGCUGUUUGUUCCAGACCAGGACUCUGUCCGAGGAGAGUUGAUGGUUGAGCUGAGACGCUGGAGGACGACUAGGAAUCGACCAACAAGGAUUCCUCAACGUGUUUCUGGAGCGGAGGCGAGCUGGCAGGGGAGCCGUGAAUCUGGAGGAUGACCAUCGCUCUACCAACAUGGAUUACGUUGGGGCCAGACUUGUGCUGUUUGUUCCUGACCAGGCCUCUGAGGAGAGCUGAUGGAGGAGCCAAGACUCUGGAGGACGACAUCACUCUACCAACAAGGAUCC
Long non-coding RNA from Gadus morhua (Atlantic cod), 307 nucleotides. RefSeq lists it as uncharacterized. The transcript has 3 exons. The record is from RefSeq and is a predicted model, not a curated record. Lineage: Eukaryota; Metazoa; Chordata; Actinopteri; Gadiformes; Gadidae.